This 102-nucleotide transfer RNA is filed under the name Colletotrichum higginsianum. RNAcentral's name for it is "tRNA CH063_16193". The record is from RNAcentral. Lineage: Eukaryota; Fungi; Ascomycota; Sordariomycetes; Glomerellales; Glomerellaceae.
GGCCCAAUGGUCUAGAGGUAUGAUUCGCCCUUCGGGUUUCACGAUCCGUGUGCACAGCACAUYAAUUGGGCGAGGCCCCGCGUUCGAAUCGCGGUUGGGCCC